This 460-nucleotide ribosomal RNA is filed under the name uncultured bacterium. RNAcentral's name for it is "partial 16S ribosomal RNA". It matches the Rfam family "Bacterial small subunit ribosomal RNA", at positions 338 to 795 of the family's 1533-position model. The record is from RNAcentral.
CCUACGGGAGGCAGCAGUGAGGAAUAUUGGUCAAUGGGCGAGAGCCUGAACCAGCCAAGUCGCGUGAAGGAUGACGGCCCUACGGGUUGUAAACUUCUUUUGUCAGGGAGCAAUUGGGUCCACGCGUGGGCUUAGCGAGAGUACCUGAAGAAAAAGCAUCGGCUAACUCCGUGCCAGCAGCCGCGGUAAUACGGAGGAUGCGAGCGUUAUCCGGAUUUAUUGGGUUAAAAGGGUGCGUAGGCGGAAUAUCAAGUCAGCGGUAAAAUUUCGGGGCUCAACCCCGUCGUGCCGUUGAAACUGAUGUUCUUGAGUAGGCGAGAAGUAUGCGGAAUGCGUGGUGUAGCGGUGAAAUGCAUAGAUAUCACGCAGAACUCCGAUUGCGAAGGCAGCAUACCGGCGCCCAACGGACGCUGAAGCACGAAAGCGUGGGUAUCGAACAGGAUUAGAUACCCUUGUAGUC